Molecule: transfer RNA, 76 nt
Filed under: Candidatus Orphnella occulta
Lineage: Bacteria; Pseudomonadati; Candidatus Omnitrophota
Description: tRNA-Ala
Rfam family: tRNA
About the family: Transfer RNA (tRNA) molecules are approximately 80 nucleotides in length. Their secondary structure includes four short double-helical elements and three loops (D, anti-codon, and T loops). Further hydrogen bonds mediate the characteristic L-shaped molecular structure. tRNAs have two regions of fundamental functional importance: the anti-codon, which is responsible for specific mRNA codon recognition, and the 3' end, to which the tRNAs corresponding amino acid is attached (by aminoacyl-tRNA synthetases). tRNAs cope with the degeneracy of the genetic code in two manners: having more than one tRNA (with a specific anti-codon) for a particular amino acid; and 'wobble' base-pairing, i.e. permitting non-standard base-pairing at the 3rd anti-codon position.
Source: RNAcentral
GGGGCUGUAGCUCAGUUGGAAGAGCACUUGCAUGGCAUGCAAGGGGUCAGGGGUUCGAGCCCCCUCAGCUCCACCA